GACGAACGCUGGCGGCGUGCUUAACACAUGCAAGUCGAACGAAGAGCGAUGGAAGCUUGCUUCUAUCAAUCUUAGUGGCGAACGUGUGAGUAACGCGUAAUCAACCUGCCCUUCAGAGGGGGACAACAGUUGGAAACGACUGCUAAUACCGCAUACGAUCUAAUCUCGGCAUCGAGGAUAGAUGAAAGGUGGCCUCUACAUGUAAGCUAUCACUGAAGGAGGGGAUUGCGUCUGAUUAGCUAGUUGGAGGGGUAACGGCCCACCAAGGCGAUGAUCAGUAGCCGGUCUGAGAGGAUGAACGGCCACAUUGGGACUGGGACACGGCCCAGACUCCUACGGGAGGCAGCAGUGGGGAAUCUUCCGCAAUGGACGAAAGUCUGACGGAGCAACGCCGCGUGAGCGAUGACGGCCUUCGGGUUGUAAAGCUCUGUUAAUCGGGACGAAAGGCCUUCUUGCGAAUAGUGAGAAGGAUUGACGGUACCGGAAUAGAAAGCCACGGCUAACUACGUG
This 510-nucleotide ribosomal RNA is filed under the name uncultured bacterium. Its description in RNAcentral is "partial 16S ribosomal RNA". It matches the Rfam family "Bacterial small subunit ribosomal RNA", at positions 28 to 507 of the family's 1533-position model. The record is from RNAcentral.